RNAcentral lists this long non-coding RNA (1331 nucleotides) under Fragaria vesca (wild strawberry). Its description in RNAcentral is "long non-coding RNA (FVES_LNC004923)". Lineage: Eukaryota; Viridiplantae; Streptophyta; Magnoliopsida; Rosales; Rosaceae. The record is from RNAcentral.
ACGUAAUCCAUUAAUUUGUAUAACUAAAGACCUUUUCAUUUAUAGUUUACAUAUGUUGAAUUCAUAUUUCAGUUAUUUUAUAUGAAUUUUGGUGAUACAUGAUGAACAGGAAGUUAGUAUGGUUUACUAAUAUCGUCUGUUUUUUUAAUGUAUUUUUUCCUUAAGCCGACGAAAUACACCAUAAUUCGUCGGCUAAAACCAUCUUAGCCGACGAAUUAUAGUGUAUUUCGUCGGCUAAACCCAUCUUAUUUCGUCGGCUAAAACCAUCUUAGCCGACGAAUUAUAGUGUAUUUCGUCGGCUAAUAAAGUUUUAGCCGACGAAUAACCUAAUAUUUCGUCGGCCAAAAUACGUAAUUUAGACGGUCGAACGACCUUUUCCAUGCGUUUAAGGGUUUGACUUACGAGAUUGACCGUCCGGAUCGAGCCCCUAUUCUUGUCGGAUCAAGUUGAAUUUUUUCCCAUACAUGUAUUUUGUCAUGAUGGUCAGAUCUGACGGUCGGAUUUAUUUUUCUCAAGUUUGAUCAUCACAAUCACAACAUGUAUACUAAUGUUGUAUAACUUGUUUACCAAGUGUUAUGUAAAUGUUCCGUUUCAAAAACAAACUAUACGUAAAACCUUCAAACGCCAAAAAGUCAUGAAAUAAGAUAUGACGAGAAUGUUGAAAUACAUCCACGGUUGAAAAAUCACACUAUUCCGGUAAAUAUUCGGUGCCGAUAGUUGCGGUCAAUGCAAUUUUUCAUUCUUUCCCCCUAUGAGUAGCCCUAUAUUCGGUGGUUAUUUUGCGUAAAAUUUUUAUACGACUUGUUACGUGUCAUCGGUUUAAAACUAUUUCAGUUGGAGGUUCGGCCAAAAUACGUAAUUUAGACGGUCGAACGACCUUUUCCGUGCGUUUAGGGGUUUGACUUACGAGAUUGACCGUCCAGAUCGAGCCCUUAUUCUUGUCGGAUCAAGUUGAAUUUUUUCCCAUAUAUGUAUUUUAUCAUGAUGGUCAUAUCUGACGGUCGGAUUUAUUUUUCUCAAGUUUGAUCAUCACAAUCACAAUGUGCCAAAUGUAUAAAAAUACUUUUAGCCGACGAAUUUCAAAGGUUAGCCGACGAAUUUCAAAAGUUUAGCCGACGAAUUUAUAAAGUUUAGCCGACGAAUUUCAAGGUUUUAGCCGACAAAUUUAGAAGGUUUAGCCGACGAAUUGAUGUAUAGCCGACGAAAUUCGUAUCUUUAGCCGACGAAAUAAUUAUUUCGUCGGCUAAAGUUUUCGGGUUUAACUGCGAAACCCUAGCCUCCUCCCUCCCUCCCUCUCCCGGUCCCGGUCUCCUCCCUCCUCCCGCUCCCUC